RNAcentral lists this ribosomal RNA (254 nucleotides) under uncultured bacterium. RNAcentral describes it as "partial 16S ribosomal RNA". It matches the Rfam family "Bacterial small subunit ribosomal RNA", at positions 524 to 776 of the family's 1533-position model. The record is from RNAcentral.
CACGUAGGGUGCGAGCGUUGUCCGGAAUUAUUGGGCGUAAAGAGCUCGUAGGCGGUGUGUCGCGUCGGCCGUGAAAACCUGCAGCUUAACUGUGGGCUUGCGGUCGAUACGGGCAUCACUGGAGUUCGGUAGGGGAGACUGGAAUUCCUGGUGUAGCGGUGAAAUGCGCAGAUAUCAGGAGGAACACCGGUGGCGAAGGCGGGUCUCUGGGCCGAAACUGACGCUGAGGAGCGAAAGCGUGGGGAGCAAACAGG